This 214-nucleotide ribosomal RNA is filed under the name uncultured bacterium. Its description in RNAcentral is "partial 16S ribosomal RNA". It matches the Rfam family "Bacterial small subunit ribosomal RNA", at positions 524 to 732 of the family's 1533-position model. The record is from RNAcentral.
UACGUAGGGGGCAAGCGUUGGUCCGGAAUCAUUGGGCGUAAAGAGCGUGUAGGCGGUUCGGUAAGUCGGCUGUGAAAGUCCAGGGCUCAACCCUGGGAUGCCGGAUCGAGUACUGCCGGACUAGAGUUCGGAAGAGGCGAGUGGAAUUCCCGGUGUAGCGGUGAAAUGCGCAGAUAUACGGGAGGAACACCUAUGGCGAAGGGCAAUCCCCUGG